This 324-nucleotide long non-coding RNA is filed under the name Oryzias sinensis (Chinese medaka). Its description in RNAcentral is "lncRNA (ENSOSIG00000022403.1)". The record is from RNAcentral. Lineage: Eukaryota; Metazoa; Chordata; Actinopteri; Beloniformes; Adrianichthyidae.
CUUUGUCCUCUGGAAUCUCAUCCCUUUGUUGUUACCCUCUAACCAAUCAACGUGCAGCCUUACCCGGGAACGCCCAUAAUCAUCGAGAGCCAGCCAAUCAAAUGAAUUUCUGCAGCAGGACUCCAUUUUGUUGGGUUAUAUGUGCAGUGGACGGGGCGUCCCGCGGCCGCUGGCUGGAACCUGUUGCUUCGCAGUUCCGUGUUGUGCAAUGGACGGGUGAAUCUUCGUGCUUUGUCAAGACUCCUUUGCCCUCAGGGGUCCUCCUCCUCCUCCCCUCGCUGGAUUCCAGUUGAUCAGCCGGUUUCUGGCUGACUUCAGCCGCUG